AUUCAAUUUCCUUAUACAAAUUCAAUAGCAUUACAUUUCCUUAUACAAAUUCAAUAGCAUUACAUUUCCUUAUACAAAUUCAAUAGCAUUACAUUUCCUUAUACAAAUUCAAUAGGAUUCAAUUUCCUUAUACAAAUUCAAUAGCAUUACAUUUCCUUAUACAAAUUCAAUAGCAUUACAUUUCCUUAUACAAAUUCAAUAGCAUUACAUUUCCUUAUACAAAUUCAAUAGCAUUACAUUUCCUUAUACAAAUUCAAUAGGAUUCAAUUUCCUUAUACGAAUUCAAAAUUAUUCAAUUCAGAUUCAAUUUCUGGUGUCAUUUGUCAUCUUUGCUUUUACCCGAAACCCAUCUUUCCAAAAUGGAAAAUAUGCCUGUACAUUUUGAAGUAACAGCUAGGGUCUUAGGGCUACAACAGUAAAUAGUCAGAGUGAUCUGACAGUCCUGUUAAUGUCAGUGUGUGUAAAAGCUAUAACACUACUUAACACUGAAAGUUAUGUUGAAUGCAUUACGAUGUGGUUUAUAAUGCAUUAUAAAACAUGUUAUAAUCAUGUAUGACCCCUCCCCCCUUUGAUAAAGUCUUACCUCAUAAUGAUCAUCUCAAAUUUCAGUCAGUUGAAAACAUGAUACAUAGAGAGACGUAUUACAGGCUUUUAAAACAAGACUGAUGCUUUCUUACAACAGGUAAUAAAGUGUUGUAGCUGCUUCAAGUGGUACUAGUUAUACCACCUGUUGUGUUGAUUCUCUCAGGGUACUUUUACUGUGUGCACUGGGAAGACCUUGCAAGCUGUAGGGUUUUUAACCCAUUGAGGUCUAACAGUAUAUGUACUGUAUUUGUGUUUUCCAUUGUCAUCAUUGAAGCCUUCAUUAACAGUUCUUUAGAACACAUAUUUAGCCUAGCUGAUUAUGGGAAUAGUCUGUGCCAUUGUGAAUAUGAUAUGGAAGAAUUAUUAAAAGUUUUAAAAAAUGACGAGUGUGUGGUUUUACCUGUACUGUGAUUAUUAGUAAUGUGUUUUUUAUUUUAUUUUUAAUGUAGAACUGUGGUUAGCACAUUUAUUUAGAAA
This is a long non-coding RNA of Oncorhynchus tshawytscha (Chinook salmon), 1062 nucleotides long. NCBI's taxonomy places the organism in Eukaryota, Metazoa, Chordata, Actinopteri, Salmoniformes, Salmonidae. The record is from Ensembl.